GUUUUUUUUAUAGAUUUAGAAUCUGAUUAUUCUAUUACAACUUCUUGUACUUCAGUCUAACCACUGAAUAACAAAGUCAUAAUGUUUAAAUCAUGUUCCCUUAAAAUUAACUCUCUUAAAGUUAAUAGCCUAUUUUCUAGAGAUAACAUUUUACUAUUUUCCUCUCAGUGAGUUCUCCAGGAAGCUGCACUGUUAAAGUUAAAAGUUCAGUUGGUACUUUCUGAGUUGCUUUGUUCUGUUUUGUUUAGCUGACAUAUAUUUUGAUAACACUUAAGUCAUCUUAAAGCUAAAAUUAUCUAGACCUGCCUUUGAAGCUUGGAUCUUUGAGGCUUCAACAGCCCAUUCACACUCAGUUACCCAUAUGUUGGAACAUAUAUAUAUAUAUAUAUAUAUAUAUAUAUAUGUAUUUUUAAAUAAUUAAAAUUUUAUUUUAAUAGCAAAAGUGCAUUCUUUUUUAAAAAUUGAUUUUAAGUUCUGUGGUACAUGUGCAGGCUUGUUACAUAGGUAAACGUGUGCCAUAGUGGUUUGCUGCACCUGUCAACCCAUCACCUAGGUAUUAGGCCCGGCAAUUUAUCCUGAUGCUCUCCCCCACCCACCCCAGCCCUUCCCCGACAGGCCCCAUUGUGUGUUGUUCCCCUCCCUGUGUCAAUGUGUUCUCAUUGGCUAGAACAUAUUUAAUAUAAUUAUUGUGAAAAUCUGAAUUACUGAGCCCCCAUUGUAGCCCUCUAUAUACUACAGUAAAGUUCAGAAAGUGAAGAGGAAGAAAGGAAGGGAACAGAAAUUCCCCAGGAAGGUUAAAAUUGAUGAGAGAAAAUGUCUUCUGGGACAGAUCCUAUGGUGAAAUGUGAAGAACAUGAGUCAGGUUACUGUUCAUCCUGAACUCGGCGCCUAAUCACUUUUUCUCUUAAUAUCUUUUAUUUAAUGAAUACUGAUUUAUUCUUCAUCUUGACUUUUGACUUUGGCCAUGCUAUCAAAUUACUUUUGCAAAAUAACUCCCACCUUAAAAACUUCUAUUAUUCUAAAAUCUGUCCUAAUAUUCACAUUAACUUGGAAUAAACCUAUCUUGAACUUCCUCUUAGAAAACAUCUUCCUCUGUAGGAAUAAAAAAGAUUCUAAUCUUUUUCUUGACCCCCUCUUUUAAAUAAUCCAAAACAACAUCAACGGCUAUACAAAAUUCUAAUGUCUAUUAAAGUCAACAUUUGAACAUAAGAGAGAAGUUAAUAUUUGUGGGAUAAACAUUAAAAGAUUUCAGUCUUGAGGCUUAGGAUUUUUUGUGUCUUGUAUUUUUUAUCAGAUUCAAGAAAUUAUACUCAAGAAAGGAGGCAGUUAUUAUGCCUCUGUUAUUCUUUCUGAAAUUAGAAUGGGAGAAAUAGAAUGAGCUUUAGAAGCAUUUGAAACUAUAUAGAGUUAUUCUGCUGUUAUGGGACUGUUUAUUUCAAAGUUUGACAGCAAAUUGAUAAGAAAACAACAAUGUCAUACAUAUUAACUGUGUGAUACAUUAAUUUGAAAAUAUUCAUUAUGACAAGUAAUGAGAGGAACGGAAUGCUCCAUUGGUUUAAGUGAUCAGAAAACUCAUUUGGAGGAAUUAUGUGCUUUCUCUGGGAAUCCGACAUAGGAAACUAUGAGAAGGCACACACAGUUAGUUAAAGCAGGUCUUUGUAUUUGCUCUUAUUAGAAAGUUUCAACCUUUUGUAGAUGAACUCAAGUGAUUAUUUUGGAAGACAGAGCGUUCUUAGGUUGGACUGAGUUAACUGGAUAUUCACCUUGCUUCAGUUAGUGAUGUGGAACACCCAGGACAGGAAAAAGAGAAAUUACUACAAUUUAAUAUAUAUUGGGAUAAAAGAGCUCACCUUGAUUUAUCACUCUGAACAAAAGGGGUCUUCCCUCCUUGGAAUCCCACACUAUUAAGGGAAUUUCUGUUGAGAGUAUCAAUUCCAGACAGUGUUGCUCCAAUCUGCUCAUCACAGACUGUCUUGGCUGCAGCUCUAUGCUGUUGGUGUGCAUGGGCUGCACUUGGAAGGUAAAACCUUUAGGGUGGCCAGUUCUCAUCAUACAGGGCUCCCUUUGCUAACCCCUUG
RNAcentral lists this long non-coding RNA (2078 nucleotides) under Homo sapiens (human). Its description in RNAcentral is "LNC_000453". The record is from RNAcentral. Lineage: Eukaryota; Metazoa; Chordata; Mammalia; Primates; Hominidae.